AUUGAACGCUGGCGGCAGGCCUAACACAUGCAAGUCGAACGAGUGGCGGACGGGUGAGUACUGUCUGGGAAACUGCCCGAUGGAGGGGGAUAACUACUGGAAACGGUAGCUAAUACCGCAUACCAUCGGAUGUGCCCAGGUUGGAUUAGCUAGUCGGUGGGGUAAUGGCUCACCUAGGCGACGAUCCCUAGCAGGUCUGAGAGGAUGACCAGCCACACUGGAACUGAGACACGGUCCAGACUCCUACGGGAGGCAGCAGUGGGGAAUAUUGCACAAUUGGCGCAAGCCUGAUGCAGCCAUGCCGCGUGUAUGAAGAAGGCCUUCGGGUUGUAAAGUACUUUCAUCGGGGAGGCGUUACCCGCAGAAGAAGCACCGGCUAACUCCGUGCCAGCCGCCGCGGUAAUUC
Molecule: ribosomal RNA, 406 nt
Filed under: uncultured bacterium
Lineage: Bacteria
Description: partial 16S ribosomal RNA
Rfam family: Bacterial small subunit ribosomal RNA
Source: RNAcentral